AGAAUCAACGCUGGCGGCGUGCCUCAGACAUGCAAGUCGAACGCGAUGCUUGAGUCUUCGGACUCAGGCGUUGAGUGGCGCACGGGUGAGUAACACGUGGGCAAUCUACCUUUGGGUGGGGAAUAUCAGCUGGAAACGGCUGUUAAUACCGCAUAAAGCAAUCGAGUCUUCGGACAGUCGGUUGUUAAAGCGUGGGACCAAGCUUUCGGGCGAGGCCAUGCGCCAGAAGAGGAGCCCGCGGCGGAUUAGCUAGUUGGUGAGGUAACGGCUCACCAAGGCCCGUGAUCCGUA
This 291-nucleotide ribosomal RNA is filed under the name uncultured soil bacterium. RNAcentral's name for it is "partial 16S ribosomal RNA". It matches the Rfam family "Bacterial small subunit ribosomal RNA", at positions 26 to 285 of the family's 1533-position model. The record is from RNAcentral.